This 497-nucleotide ribosomal RNA is filed under the name uncultured bacterium. RNAcentral describes it as "partial 16S ribosomal RNA". It matches the Rfam family "Bacterial small subunit ribosomal RNA", at positions 28 to 507 of the family's 1533-position model. The record is from RNAcentral.
GAUGAACGCUGGCGGCGUGCCUAAUACAUGCAAGUCGAGCGAACAGACGAGGAGCUUGCUCCUCUGACGUUAGCGGCCGACGGGUGAGUAACACGUGGAUAACCUACCUAUAAGACUGGGAUAACUUCGGGAAACCGGAGCUAAUACCGGAUAAUAUAUUGAACCGCAUGGUUCAAUAGUGAAAGACGGUUUUGCUGUCACUUAUAGAUGGAUCCGCGCCGCAUUAGCUAGUUGGUAAGGUAACGGCUUACCAAGGCGACGAUGCGUAGCCGACCUGAGAGGGUGAUCGGCCACACUGGAACUGAGACACGGUCCAGACUCCUACGGGAGGCAGCAGUAGGGAAUCUUCCGCAAUGGGCGAAAGCCUGACGGAGCAACGCCGCGUGAGUGAUGAAGGUCUUCGGAUCGUAAAACUCUGUUAUUAGGGAAGAACAAAUGUGUAAGUAACUAUGCACGUCUUGACGGUACCUAAUCAGAAAGCCACGGCUAACUACGUG